GGUCACACGGGGAGAACACGGAUCUGCUCAGAGCUGGCAUCCAAUCAAUACAGACUGAAUGAAUUAGCAGUUUAUUGUUAGUGAUAUUAUUAUCAUCAUCAUCUUUAUUUUUAUUUUGGAGUGGGGAUGAAGAAGGGUAUCAUUUAAAAGGUCAAAAUUUGAUCCAGGCUUUGAAUGACAAGUGAAGAAGACAAGUCCAGGCAGAGGGAAUACCUCACACAGUGGGCUUGACAACAGGCUCCUUCCUCGGGCCCUCAUGCAGCCCUCCAUUGAACCUCUGCUAAGGACUGGCUGGGCCAUGGACUUCAGCCCAGAGUGUGCCAAACUUGUCCUGGAGCGUGGGCCCCAUGGCCGACAGAGCUGUGACUCUGGUUCCCACGAGCAUGUCACUAACCAUUUCCUGGGCCUUAUCACCGGGAGGAAAAAAAGGAGUGCCUUUGAAAAGUGGAAACAAAACAUCAGGCCCCAUUGUUGUGUGACUUCCCCGGCCACAAUCUGGACUCUCCAUCGCUCUACACGCGGAGACUACAAACACGCCCUAAUACAGAUACUCCAAUCGGCAAUUUGACCAGGACAUUUAUUGUUCUGUAUCUGCAAUCUCUGCUGCGUGUUUGUGGCUUUUAAAUCAUCUGGUG
Molecule: long non-coding RNA, 635 nt
Filed under: Capra hircus (goat)
Lineage: Eukaryota; Metazoa; Chordata; Mammalia; Artiodactyla; Bovidae
Description: lncRNA (ENSCHIG00000001866.1)
Source: RNAcentral